AUCCAGCAGACGAUUCCUAAAUAGGACGAAACGCGCGUCCAGACUGGAU
Non-coding RNA from Schistosoma mattheei, 49 nucleotides. Lineage: Eukaryota; Metazoa; Platyhelminthes; Trematoda; Strigeidida; Schistosomatidae. The record is from Rfam.